ACGCGGAGCCGCCCUGUCCUCUCCGCUCCGCUCCGCUCCGCUCCCUCCCGGCCCUGCCCGGCCCGGCCCGGACUUGCCUGUGGUGCCACCCGCUGGUGCUCCCCGCCGCUCCAGCUCGUGUAGCAGCAGCCCGGCACUGGGAGCAGCAGCUCGGGCAGAAGAGGAGGGCGGGCCCGGACCUCUCCGCCCAGUGCUCAGCCCCCGCUACCCGGCUCGUCCGGCCGCCUCCUGCCACCCGCGUGGCGGCCCCGCCCCGCUCCAGCACCCAGACCCGGGCGAAGAGGUGAACGCUGCGGGCGGGCGGAAAGGCUGAGGAGCGUCCUGCCCCUCAGCAGGAUGCCAGGGGAGAGUCGGUCCCCAUUGCUGAGGCAAGCCAUCACUGUCAGGCUGAUGCCAGAUCGGGGAAGCGGAGAAAACGAGGGCUCUCAGGCGGUGGUCGAGGCCUGCCCUUCCCGACCAACGUGUGUGGGGAACUCAAAACUGGACACAGUACUCCAGAUGUGGCCUCACCGGUGCUGAAUAAAGGAGAACAAUCACUUCCUUCAAUCUGCUGGCAAUGCUCCUACUAAUGAAGCUCAGGAUCCCAUUAGCCUUCUUUGCAACAGGGGCACAUUGUUCGCCAUUGAAGUUGACCAAUUUGAAACAGACCUGUUGGCGUUGUCCUCUCUUCCAUGUGAUUUUUCUUGAAGAGUAAGACCAAGUCUGGAAAGCUUUUACUACAAAGGACGUUAAAAGUAACUGAAGAGGCCUGGUGUGUUUAAAAUAAAAGAUGGAAUUCAUUCAA
This is a long non-coding RNA of Alligator mississippiensis (American alligator), 784 nucleotides long. RefSeq lists it as uncharacterized. Lineage: Eukaryota; Metazoa; Chordata; Crocodylia; Alligatoridae. The record is from RefSeq and is a predicted model, not a curated record. The transcript has 3 exons.